Molecule: long non-coding RNA, 1407 nt
Organism: Nyctereutes procyonoides (raccoon dog)
Lineage: Eukaryota; Metazoa; Chordata; Mammalia; Carnivora; Canidae
Exons: 3
Source: RefSeq, a predicted model, not a curated record
ACUGAAUAGACACCAUGAGCAAAGCUCACCCUCCUGAGUUGAAAAAAAUUUAUGGACAAGAAAUUGUCAUUGAAAUUAAACGGUGGCAGUCAUGUCUUAGGAAUAGUGUGGGGGUUCGAUCCCUUUAUAGAACUUGUGAUGGGGGAUCCCUGGGUGGCUCAGCAGUUUGGCGCCUGCCUUUGAGCCAGGGCGUGAUCCUGGAGUCCCGGGAUCCAGUCCCCCAUCGGGCUCCCUGCAUGGAGCCUGCUUCUCCCUCUGCCUGUCUGUCUGUCUGUCUCUCUCUCUCUCAUGAAUAAAUAAAUAAAAUCUUAAAAAAAAAAAACUUGUUAUGGAUGAAGGUAUGGAGAUGGCAACUCAUGGCAACAACAAUAUUGGAAUGGUGGUAACUCCAGGAAAUAGUAUUGUGUUAGAAGCCUUGGAAGAAAUAUAAACAACGGUGUGUUCCCUGGAAGAAAUCAACUGCUUCCACGUGUCACCCCUCUGUAGCACCUGUUUUACUACAAUUUAAAAACCAGGUCAUGUGCAUUUUCAUAUUGAACUUUUUUGUUGAUUCAACUUUCGUAAUAGUAAAAAAAAAUGAAUCAAAUGUUCUUGAUUAGAGUGGUAUUGUUUGGUGGUGAACAUACUAAAACCACUGACUUGUACACUUGAAAAGGUGAAGCAUAUACUUGAGAGGGGUGAAUGUGAAUCAUAUCUCAGUUUUUUAAAGACCAACAUAAAAGCCCGUGUUCUAAGGCUACCAUUAGCCAUUGAUAUUUUUUAGUUAUUUGUUUUAGAUGCAGUUGUAAAGGAGUUCACAUUUCAUACUCCUGGACAAAUCCAACCUCUCUGAAGGAGACACUUCUGCAAGUGACCGGCGAUGCUCCAUGUUCCUAUCCAACAGAUCUUGCUGAGAUGUACAGCCAGACUUACUUCCAUCCGGUGUGCACACCACACAGAGCUGGUUAGAGAUGACCCUGCACAGUUUAUUUUUUGCAGUAACCUCUUCAUCCAAUGUGGGACUCAAACCUGCGACCCCAAGAUCAGGAGUCACGUGCUUUUCCGACUGAGCCAACCAAUCACCCCUGUGUGAACUUUAACAACCAGUAGAACUUGCUUCUGCUUAGAACGUGGGAAAGAGGUUUGGUGAUGGUAGCCAUCAGUUAUGCUGACCUUGGAGGAAGAAUAACAUUUCCAAAACAGGAGAACUGUUCCCAGUAGUAGGCCAUUCCUUUCUUCAGAUCUGUAUCCCUGCUUUAGAGUCUAUUUAAACCAGCAUCCAGGGACCCCUAGGUGGCUCAGUGGUUUAGUGCCGCCUUUGGCCCAGGGUGUGAUCCUGGAGUCCCGGGAUCGAGUCCCACAUGGGGCUCCUUGGAUGGAGCCUGCUUCUCCCUCUGUCUCUGCCUCUCUCUCUCUCUCAUGAAUAAA